RNAcentral lists this ribosomal RNA (331 nucleotides) under uncultured fungus. RNAcentral describes it as "partial large subunit ribosomal RNA". It matches the Rfam family "Eukaryotic large subunit ribosomal RNA", at positions 40 to 358 of the family's 3401-position model. Lineage: Eukaryota; Fungi. The record is from RNAcentral.
AUAUUAUUAAGCGGAGGAAAAGAAACUAACCAGGAUUCCCUCAGUAGCGGCGAGUGAAGCGGGAACAGCUCAAAUUUAAAAUCUGGGGUGCAUUAGUGCCUCCGAAUUGUAGUUUUGGGAAGCAACAUCACGGGCAUCGCCUCGAGUAUAAAUCUUUUGGAACAAGGUAUCACAGAGGGUGACAAUCCCGUGUGUGACUCGAUGGUGUGUGUCGACACGUGUUGGUGUUUCGAAGAGUCGGGUUGCUUGGGACUGCAGCUCUAAGUGGGUGGUAAGCUUCAUCUAAAGCUAAAUACGGGCGAGAGACCGAUAGCGAACAAGUACCGUGAGG